RNAcentral lists this ribosomal RNA (426 nucleotides) under uncultured bacterium. Its description in RNAcentral is "bacterial SSU rRNA". It matches the Rfam family "Bacterial small subunit ribosomal RNA", at positions 355 to 772 of the family's 1533-position model. The record is from RNAcentral.
UGGGGAAUUGUUCGCAAUGGGCGCAAGCCUGACGACGCAACGCCGCGUGGAGGAUGAAGGUCUUCGGAUUGUAAACUCCUGUUGACCGGGACGAAUGGGCGACGACCUAACACGUCGGAGCAGUGACGGUACCGGUUGAGGAAGGCACGGCUAACUCUGUGCCAUCAGCCGCGGUAAUACAGAGGUGGCAAGCGUUGUUCGGAAUUACUGGGCGUAAAGGGCGCGUAGGCGGCCUUCUAAGUCGGACGUGAAAUCCCCAGGCUUAACUUGGGAACUGCGUCCGAUACUGGAUGGCUUGAGCGCGGGAGAGGGAUGUGGAAUUCCAGGUGUAGCGGUGAAAUGCGUAGAUAUCUGAAGGAACACCGGUGGCGAAGGCGGCAUCCUGGACCGACACUGACGCUGAUGCGCGAAAGCCAGGGGAGCAAA